This 258-nucleotide ribosomal RNA is filed under the name uncultured bacterium. Its description in RNAcentral is "partial 16S ribosomal RNA". It matches the Rfam family "Bacterial small subunit ribosomal RNA", at positions 15 to 263 of the family's 1533-position model. The record is from RNAcentral.
GAUCCUGGCUCAGGAUGAACGCUAGCGGCAGGCUUAACACAUGCAAGUCGAGGGGCAGCGGGAGGAGUGCUUGCACUUCUUGCCGGCGACCGGCGUACGGGUGAGUAACACGUAUGCAACCUGCCUCCGUCAGGGGGACAACCCGGCGAAAGCCGGGCUAAUCCCGCGUAUAUUCCGUGAGGGCAUCCUUACGGAAGGAAAGGCUUCGGCCGGACGGGGAUGGGCAUGCGGCGCAUUAGGUAGUCGGGGGUGUAACGG